AGUGAACGCUGGCGGUAGGCCUAACACAUGCAAGUCGAACGGCAGCACAGUAAGAGCUUGCUCUUACGGGUGGCGAGUGGCGGACGGGUGAGGAAUACAUCGGAAUCUACUUUUUCGUGGGGGAUAACGUAGGGAAACUUACGCUAAUACCGCAUACGACCUACGGGUGAAAGCAGGGGAUCUUCGGACCUUGCGCGAUUGAAUGAGCCGAUGUCGGAUUAGCUAGUUGGCGGGGUAAAGGCCCACCAAGGCGACGAUCCGUAGCUGGUCUGAGAGGAUGAUCAGCCACCCUGGAACUGAGACACGGUCCAGACUCCUACGGGAGGCCGCCGUGGGGAAUAUUGGACAAUGGGCGCAAGCCUGAUCCAGCCCUACCGCGUGGGUGAAGAAGGCCUUCGGGUUGUAAAGCCCUUUUGUUGGGAAAGAAAAGCAGCAGGUUAAUACCCCGCUGUUCUGACGGUACCCAAAGAAUAAGCACCGGCUAACUUCGUG
This 492-nucleotide ribosomal RNA is filed under the name uncultured bacterium. RNAcentral's name for it is "partial 16S ribosomal RNA". It matches the Rfam family "Bacterial small subunit ribosomal RNA", at positions 29 to 507 of the family's 1533-position model. The record is from RNAcentral.